GUUACGGCGGCCAUAGCGUCAGGGAAACGCCCGGACACAUUCCGAACCCGGAAGCUAAGACUGACAGCGCCAAUGGUACUGCGAGGGGGACCUCGUGGGAGAGUAGGACACCGCCGGACAC
RNAcentral lists this ribosomal RNA (121 nucleotides) under Leucobacter celer subsp. astrifaciens. Lineage: Bacteria; Bacillati; Actinomycetota; Actinomycetes; Micrococcales; Microbacteriaceae. The record is from RNAcentral.